AUGAAGAUACCUCUUAAGAAUAAAAUUUUUGCAUGGUAUCUUCGUCGCGGAGUCAUUCUUACUAAAGAUAACCUUAUUAAGAGGAAUUAGCAUGGAAGUCCGCAAUGUGUCUUUUGUCACCGUGAUGAGACAAUAAAACAUUUAUUCUUCCAAUGCAAAUUGGCUCGUUCUAUAUGGUCAGUCAUCCAAAUAGCUUCUGGCUUGUAUCCUCCUUGUAGUGUUGCUAAUGUAUUUGGCAACUGGUUACACGGGAUUGAUCACAUGUUUAGAACUUUUCUCAGGGUGGGAGCGCUUGCCGUUAUUUGGUCGCUUUGGCUAUGUAAAAAUGAUAAGGUUUUUAACGAUAAAAGUACUUCCCUGAUGCAGGUUCUCUAUGUACUGGGACUCUUCAUCUAUGGUCAUUUCUAUAACGCGUAG
Molecule: ribosomal RNA, 417 nt
Filed under: Triticum aestivum (bread wheat)
Lineage: Eukaryota; Viridiplantae; Streptophyta; Magnoliopsida; Poales; Poaceae
Description: partial small subunit ribosomal RNA
Source: RNAcentral